This 166-nucleotide ribosomal RNA is filed under the name uncultured bacterium. RNAcentral's name for it is "partial 16S rRNA". It matches the Rfam family "Bacterial small subunit ribosomal RNA", at positions 339 to 522 of the family's 1533-position model. The record is from RNAcentral.
CUACGGGGGGCGGCAGUGGGGAAUAUUGGACAAUGGGCGAAAGCCUGAUCCAGCCAUGCCGCGUGAGUGAUGAAGGCCUUAGGGUUGUAAAGCUCUUUCAGUAGGGAAGAUAAUGACGGUACCUACAUAAGAAGCCCCGGCUAACUUCGUGCCAGCAGCCCCGGUC